This 497-nucleotide ribosomal RNA is filed under the name uncultured bacterium. RNAcentral's name for it is "bacterial SSU rRNA". It matches the Rfam family "Bacterial small subunit ribosomal RNA", at positions 29 to 524 of the family's 1533-position model. The record is from RNAcentral.
AUUGAACGCUGGCGGAAUGCUUUACACAUGCAAGUCGAGCGGCAGCGCGGGGCAACCUGGCGGCGAGCGGCGAACGGGUGAGUAACAUAUCGGAACGUACCCAGUCGUGGGGGAUAACUAUCCGAAAGGAUAGCUAAUACCGCAUACGACCUGAGGGUGAAAGGGGGGGAUCGCAAGACCUCUCGCGAUUGGAGCGGCCGAUAUCGGAUUAGCUAGUUGGUGAGGUAAAGGCUCACCAAGGCGACGAUCCGUAGCUGGUCUGAGAGGACGACCAGCCACACUGGAACUGAGACACGGUCCAGACUCCUACGGGAGGCAGCAGUGGGGAAUUUUCCACAAUGGGCGCAAGCCUGAUGGAGCAACGCCGCGUGUGUGAUGAAGGUCUUCGGAUCGUAAAGCACUUUCGACCGGGACGAAAACUCAUUGCUAACAUCGAUGAGCCUGACGGUACCGGGAGAAGAAGCACCGGCUAACUCUGUGCCAGCAGCCGCGGUAAU